GAGGAACCUCUCCGGGGCUCGACCCCGCGGAUGAAAGUCUGAGCUCGGCUCCAAACUCUCGGAGAGGCAUAGCUCUGCGCACGGGGGCACAGCCCCGGACAGCGGCUGGAAGAGAUGGGGGCAUGAUUCUCGGCGAUGUGGAAGGGAAAAGGGAGAGGUAAAGGGGCCUGAAAGGAGGCGAGGGGCUGCCGAAUGCCAUCUGGGAUGUGGGCUACCCUUGGCCUCUGCUUCCUGCUGCUCUCAUGACUGGUGACUGCUCGACAGCUCAGAGAGCACGGGGAAGAGGUGAAUGAGAGUCUUCAUCAUGACCAUCUGCAAAUGGUCCUUUGGGAUUCCAAACGGCCCCAGAACUGGGUUGAAGGCGAACAAAUUUUGGCCAUCCAGAAUCUCUGGUGUGGACCUGACACGACCCUCCACGGUACAUUUUUGGGGUCUCACACCGGGCCCAAGCAAGAUUCACCGUCCCACACAGGCGUCUGUCCUGGUAGCCGCAGGGGUCGAGAACUGGGCUGCCCCCGGGUUCCCGCACCCUGCUGCCUAGGCAGGCGGGCCGGAGAGCCGGAGGAGGGAUGCAGUGCGGCAGGAGCCCGGGAGAGGGCGGCUGGAGCCUAACCACGGAGCGCCCGGCACGGUGAGGCUGCGGCGCAGUAGUCCGUGGGGCACUCCGCUCUUCACCACCCUGCCCAUCACCGCCCUGCCCAUCGCUACCCAGCCCAUCACCACUCUGAUCAUCACCAACUUGUCCAUCACCAACCUGCCCAUCAGCCCCGUAUCCAUCACCACCCAGCCAUCACCAAUCUGCCCAUCAUCACAGGGCCCAUUAUAAUCCUGGCCACCAUCGCUCCGUAGCCAUCCUGCCCCUGCCUGCCAAGCCCUCUGAAGGGCCACAAACGGAGAUUUUUAGGGGCAUUGCAAAGUUCAGCACAGACCUCCACAGCCGAGCAGCACCAGCUGUUACCCUCAGAUUUCCCCUGGGCAGAGCCGGGGGAGCUUCAUCUCAGUGUGGGAUAGCAGAGGUCACCCACAGCCCAGCACAUCCCACUCUGAGAACUGCAGAUAUGCCACUUCCAAACCACCCUAUGCGUCCUGAAAAUGCAGCGUGUGGGAAUUGAAGAGCGAAGCGGGAAGGACGUUUGGAAGCAGGAGAAGAAAGCAGCAAUGGUUAAAAGCUGAGGCCGGUGCAGAGCGGAAGGGAAGCGAUGCG
Molecule: long non-coding RNA, 1204 nt
Organism: Pogoniulus pusillus (Red-fronted tinkerbird)
Lineage: Eukaryota; Metazoa; Chordata; Aves; Piciformes; Lybiidae
Exons: 3
Source: RefSeq, a predicted model, not a curated record